GUAUGCAAAGAUACACCCUUGUAUUGCUGCCAUGUCGGUCUCGGCUCUCAUUGAGAGUAGGUACAUACUGACUGUGUUGAAACCCAGAUGUUCCGCCCUCUCAUAAUUAUUCCUUUUUUUACUCUGGAACUUUCGUCCCAAAGACCGAAACAUUUAUUUUUUGAGUUUCAUUUGAGUGAUACACAGCGAAAUAUAGAAUCAGAACAGAAUAUCUAAGAGAAACUCAUUAAUCUGUAAUCAGUGGAUUUUGAAGUGGACUCGACAUAUUUUGUAAAUUUGUGAAUAUUUUGACAUUAGCUUGUUGAACUACUUUUGAAGUAUAGUGUCUAGUUCUAGUUCCAGUGUGUGGUGCAUAUAUUUGAUAGUAACGAGAAACGGCCAUACACUCCAGUAAAGGGGACAGGAAGGAUAUAGAAGAGGCUAUUUCCAAAUGGCUUCGAGGAGCCAACGAUAUAGAAAAUCAUAAGUGUUAAUUCCUAUUCAGUGUAUAUACCUAUAUAUCUGCUUCUUUGUUAUUCAGUUUUUUUGUAGUUUAGUUUUUUUUCAUAGGGGUAGUAGUCCAAUCUUCAAAUUAUACUUACUUGUAAUUUAUUUUAUUUUAAUUUUUCACAUAAAGAUGUUGAACAUU
This is a long non-coding RNA of Coccinella septempunctata (seven-spotted ladybird), 628 nucleotides long. RefSeq lists it as uncharacterized. The transcript has 2 exons. The record is from RefSeq and is a predicted model, not a curated record. NCBI's taxonomy places the organism in Eukaryota, Metazoa, Arthropoda, Insecta, Coleoptera, Coccinellidae.